GAUUAUUGAGGUGAGAAAUGGCUACUCAUACGCUAAAUAUUUAGUAAAUAGAGAUGUAGGAUAUGUCGACCUACCAAUAACA
The submitters of this non-coding RNA (82 nucleotides) gave its source as unclassified sequences. The record is from Rfam.